This is a non-coding RNA of Triticum aestivum (bread wheat), 135 nucleotides long. Lineage: Eukaryota; Viridiplantae; Streptophyta; Magnoliopsida; Poales; Poaceae. The record is from Rfam.
AUCAUACUCCCUCCGUUCGAAAAUACUUGUCAUCACAAAGAAUAAAAAGGGAUGUAUCUAGAUGUAUUUUAGUUCUAGAUGCAUCUCUUUUCAUCCAAUUUGGUGACAAGUAUUUUCGGAUCGAGGGAGUAUACU